This 306-nucleotide ribosomal RNA is filed under the name Triticum aestivum (bread wheat). RNAcentral's name for it is "partial small subunit ribosomal RNA". The record is from RNAcentral. Lineage: Eukaryota; Viridiplantae; Streptophyta; Magnoliopsida; Poales; Poaceae.
AUGCACGUAUCCUCCCAACGUGGAUCUAGUACAGGAAUGAGAAAGACAAUACCCAGUAAUACCAUCCUUGACCAUUUAUCCAUGAGGUUCAAGUUGGAUCCGAAAAUGAUGCAACUAAACAAGCAUGCACUCAUAUUUUUCGGUCUCCUCUGCGACAGUAUCGGUACCACCUUAGAAAAUCUCACUUUGAAGGCAAGGCUAACAAUGAAAUCGCCCAAACAUCUCCAGUGGAAUAUAUUACAGAUGAAGACUGGACAACCCUCGUUAAACAUUGGUCUGAUCCAAAGUAUCAGGCUAACUGUUUGA